ACCCACGUCCCUCUCCUCCACUCUCUUCAAUUAUUUCUUGUUUUUUAUUUAAUUUCUUGUUAAAUUUUGGAGCGAGCGGUGUCAAACGAUGGAAAUAUUCCCCCAAAAUUGCAAAGACUUCGUUCCAAAUCACGACUUCAAGCCCUCUUCGACAUCUGAAGCAGAGUUAAAAUUUAAAACCCUAGAGCGAUUGCAACAAAGUUGGACAGUGACGUGAGCGACAAAGAAUGUACUCCAAAUAUUGUUGCCAAACUCUGAUUAUAUCAUUGUUGAAGUCAUGCGAGUUCUGGCUGAGGUGGAUCGCC
This is a long non-coding RNA of Malus domestica (apple), 305 nucleotides long. RefSeq lists it as uncharacterized. Lineage: Eukaryota; Viridiplantae; Streptophyta; Magnoliopsida; Rosales; Rosaceae. The record is from RefSeq and is a predicted model, not a curated record.